CCCGCACAAGCAGUGGAGUUAUGUGGUUUAAUUCGAAGCAACGCGAAGAACCUUACCAGGGCUUGACAUCCCUCGAAUUGCAUGGAACAUGCAAGUCCUUCGGGACGAGGAGACAGGUGGUGCAUGGUUGUCGUCAGCUCGUGUCGUGAGAUGUUGGGUUAAGUCCCGCAACGAGCGCAACCCUUGUUGUUAGUUGCCAGCGAGUAAUGUCGGGCACUCUAAGGAUACUGCCGGUGACAAACCGGAGGAAGGUGGGGAUGGCGUCAAAUCAUCAUGCCCUUUAUGACCUGGGCUACACACGUGCUACAAUGGCCUAUACAAAGGGUAGCGAAGCUGUGAAGUGGAGCCAAUCCCAAAAAGUAGGUCUCAGUUCGGAUUGUAGGCUGCAACUCGCCUACAUGAAGUCGGAAUCGCUAGUAAUCGCGGAUCAGCAUGCCGCGGUGAAUACGUUCCCGGGCCUU
This 461-nucleotide ribosomal RNA is filed under the name uncultured Peptococcaceae bacterium. Its description in RNAcentral is "bacterial SSU rRNA". It matches the Rfam family "Bacterial small subunit ribosomal RNA", at positions 920 to 1382 of the family's 1533-position model. The record is from RNAcentral. Lineage: Bacteria; Bacillati; Bacillota; Clostridia; Eubacteriales; Peptococcaceae.